RNAcentral lists this ribosomal RNA (643 nucleotides) under uncultured bacterium. Its description in RNAcentral is "bacterial SSU rRNA". It matches the Rfam family "Bacterial small subunit ribosomal RNA", at positions 232 to 885 of the family's 1533-position model. RNAcentral also lists the same sequence under 2 other names. The record is from RNAcentral.
CGCGGCCUAUCAGCUUGUUGGUGAGGUAAUGGCUCACCAAGGCGACGACGGGUAGCCGGCCUGAGAGGGUGACCGGCCACACUGGGACUGAGACACGGCCCAGACUCCUACGGGAGGCAGCAGUGGGGAAUAUUGCACAAUGGGCGCAAGCCUGAUGCAGCGACGCCGCGUGAGGGAUGACGGCCUUCGGGUUGUAAACCUCUUUCAGUAGGGAAGAAGCGAAAGUGACGGUACCUGCAGAAGAAGCGCCGGCUAACUACGUGCCAGCAGCCGCGGUAAUACGUAGGGCGCAAGCGUUAUCCGGAAUUAUUGGGCGUAAAGAGCUCGUAGGCGGUUUGUCGCGUCUGCCGUGAAAGUCCGGGGCUCAACUCCGGAUCUGCGGUGGGUACGGGCAGACUAGAGUGAUGUAGGGGAGACUGGAAUUCCUGGUGUAGCGGUGAAAUGCGCAGAUAUCAGGAGGAACACCGAUGGCGAAGGCAGGUCUCUGGGCAUUAACUGACGCUGAGGAGCGAAAGCAUGGGGAGCGAACAGGAUUAGAUACCCUGGUAGUCCAUGCCGUAAACGUUGGGCACUAGGUGUGGGGGACAUUCCACGUUUUCCGCGCCGUAGCUAACGCAUUAAGUGCCCCGCCUGGGGAGUACGG